Molecule: ribosomal RNA, 989 nt
Filed under: Phyllonastes personinum
Lineage: Eukaryota; Metazoa; Chordata; Amphibia; Anura; Craugastoridae
Description: Noblella personina partial large subunit ribosomal RNA
Rfam family: Bacterial large subunit ribosomal RNA
Source: RNAcentral
CAAGCACCACACCUUNUAGAGCAACUCAAAUAGGGUACAGCCUAUUUGAAACAGGAAACAACMUACAAAACNGGGUAACUACNACNUAGCCAAGCAACAUAGUGGGCCUAAGAGCAGCCAACACUUAAAAAGCGUCAAAACUUAAUUGCCCACCUCCACGUAUUUCACAAACACCACCGAACCCGUUAAUAGUACUGAAUACUUCAAUACCUUUAUUGAACCUUUUAUGUUAAAACUAGUAACAAGAAAUAAAUUUUCUCACAAUGUAAACAUAACCCAGACAGCACCCCGCACUGGCAGUUAACGAUCCUAACUCAAGGGUAACAACCCUCACAAAUAAAACUCUACCACACACCCCCGUCAACCUAACACAAGAACAUUACAAGAAAGAUUAAAAGAAAAAAAAGGAACUCGGCAAACAUUAAUUUCGCCUGUUUACCAAAAACAUCGCCUCUUGAACACUAUAAAAGGUCCAGCCUGCCCAGUGAACCAUUAACGGCCGCGGUAUCCUAACCGUGCAAAGGUAGCACAAUCACUUGUUUUUUAAAUAAAGACUAGUAUGAACGGCAUCACGAAAAUUAAACUGUCUCUUUUUUCCAAUCAGUGAAACUAAUCUCCCCGUGAAGAAGCGGGGAUUAUCCUAUAAGACGAGAAGACCCUGUGGAGCUUUAAACUUUACUAGCACCCACUUUACCCCCAACAACCCACCAAGUUUCCCUGCCUAGAGAGUUUUCGGUUGGGGCGACCUUGGAGAACAACACAUCCUCCAAGCUGAAACAGUUUAUACUUAAACAAAAACCCACAACUUUAUGUAUCAAUAAAUUGACACCCAUUGACCCAGUAACCUGAUCAACGAACCAAGUUACCCCAGGGAUAACAGCGCAAUCUUCUUCGAGAGCCCAUAUCGACAAGAAGGUUUACGACCUCGAUGUUGGAUCAGGGUACCCAAGGAGUGCAGCCGCCCCUAAAGGUUCGUUUGUUCAACGAUU